CGAUACAUCGACUGAAAUAGGUUAUUGCUAACAAUACUAUAACUAACGACGUGCCAGUCUACGAGCUAGAGUACAAGAUGUGUGUCCAGUCGAAUCUCAGAUUGCGAGAAACUGGAAAUUUGAAUUCCUGGGCUCAAAAUACGUCGAAUAUAUACAACAAUUAACUUCAAAAUCGGAUGAAGUUGACGAAGCUAUAGUCGGAUUUCAUACAGCCUCAGAAAUGAGAUCUGAAAUAUCAUUUUUUUUUGACUCAGCA
This 256-nucleotide unclassified non-coding RNA is filed under the name Athalia rosae (coleseed sawfly). RNAcentral's name for it is "misc RNA ENSAEAG00005002541.1". Lineage: Eukaryota; Metazoa; Arthropoda; Insecta; Hymenoptera; Athaliidae. The record is from RNAcentral.